AGUUGAUUAAUGAAAAAAAUAAUAUUUCNNAGCUUUACGUGGGGAGAUUAAGAAGAGAGAAGAGUUGAGCCAAACU
RNAcentral lists this transfer RNA (76 nucleotides) under Nemertoderma westbladi. RNAcentral describes it as "tRNA-Lys". Lineage: Eukaryota; Metazoa; Xenacoelomorpha; Nemertodermatida; Nemertodermatidae. The record is from RNAcentral.